AGGACGAACGCUGGCGGCGUGCCUAAAACAUGCAAGUCGAACGAGGUCCAUCCAGUGGCAACACUGGUGAAGACCUAGUGGCGAACGGGUGAGUAACACGUGAGAAACCUGCCCCGAAGACUGGGAUAACUCCGGGAAACCGGUGCUAAUACCAGAUGUCCUCACCGGACCGCAUGAUCUGGUGAGGAAAUGGAUUCCGCUUCGGGAUGGUCUCGCGGCCUAUCAGCUUGUUGGCGGGGUAAUGGCUUACCAAGGCUACGAUCCGUAGCUGGUCUGAGAGGAUGAUCAGCCACACUGGGACUGAGACACGGCCCAGACUCCUACGGGAGGCAGCAGUAGGGAAUCUUGGACAAUGGGCGAAAGCCUGAUCCAGCCAUGCCGCGUGAGUGAAGAAGGCCUUAGGGUUGUAAAGCUCUUUUGGCGGGACGAUAAUGACGGUACCCGCAGAAUAAGCCCGGCUAACUUCGUGCCAGCAGCCGC
RNAcentral lists this ribosomal RNA (480 nucleotides) under uncultured bacterium. RNAcentral's name for it is "SSU rRNA". It matches the Rfam family "Bacterial small subunit ribosomal RNA", at positions 26 to 518 of the family's 1533-position model. The record is from RNAcentral.